ACGCUGGCGGCAGGCCUAACACAUGCAAGUCGAGCGGUAGAGAGAAGCUUGCUUCUCUUGAGAGCGGCGGACGGGUGAGUAAUGCCUAGGAAUCUGCCUGGUAGUGGGGGAUAACGUUCGGAAACGGACGCUAAUACCGCAUACGUCCUACGGGAGAAAGCAGGGGACCUUCGGGCCUUGCGCUAUCAGAUGAGCCUAGGUCGGAUUAGCUAGUUGGUGAGGUAAUGGCUCACCAAGGCGACGAUCCGUAACUGGUCUGAGAGGAUGAUCAGUCACACUGGAACUGAGACACGGUCCGGACCCCUACGGGAGGCAGCAGUGGGGAAUAUUGGACAAUGGGCGAAAGCCUGAUCCAGCCAUGCCGCGUGUGUGAAGAAGGUCUUCGGAUUGUAAAGCACUUUAAGUUGGGAGGAAGGGCGUUAACCUAAUACGUUAGUGUUUUGACGUUACCGACAGAAUAAGCACCGGCUAACUCUGUGCCAGCAGCCGCGGUAAUACAGAGGGUGCAAGCGUUAAUCGGAAUUACUGGGCGUAAAGCGCGCGUAGGUGGUUUGUUAAGUUGGAUGUGAAAUCCCCGGGCUCAACCUGGGAACUGCAUUCAAAACUGACUGACUAGAGUAUGGUAGAGGGUGGUGGAAUUUCCUGUGUAGCGGUGAAAUGCGUAGAUAUAGGAAGGAACACCAGUGGCGAAGGCGACCACCUGGACUAAUACUGACACUGAGGUGCGAAAGCGUGGGAGCAAAC
This 744-nucleotide ribosomal RNA is filed under the name uncultured bacterium. RNAcentral describes it as "bacterial SSU rRNA". It matches the Rfam family "Bacterial small subunit ribosomal RNA", at positions 33 to 773 of the family's 1533-position model. The record is from RNAcentral.